GACGAACCGUGCGAACGUUAUUCGGAAUCACUGGGCUUAAAGGGCGCGUAGGCGGGUUCUCAAGUCAGGGGUGAAAUCCCGCGGCUCAACCGUGGAAGUGCCUUUGAUACUGGGGACCUCGAGGGAGGUAGGGGCGUGCGGAACUUCCGGUGGAGCGGUGAAAUGCGUAGAUAUCGGAAGGAACACCGGUGGCGAAAGCGGCGCGCUGGACCUCUUCUGACGCUGAGGCGCGAAAGCGUGGGGAGCAAACAGG
This 253-nucleotide ribosomal RNA is filed under the name uncultured bacterium. RNAcentral's name for it is "partial 16S ribosomal RNA". It matches the Rfam family "Bacterial small subunit ribosomal RNA", at positions 524 to 776 of the family's 1533-position model. The record is from RNAcentral.